This 396-nucleotide ribosomal RNA is filed under the name uncultured bacterium. RNAcentral's name for it is "bacterial SSU rRNA". It matches the Rfam family "Bacterial small subunit ribosomal RNA", at positions 134 to 518 of the family's 1533-position model. The record is from RNAcentral.
GUGACGGGGACAGCUCCUAGAAUAAGGAGAUAAUACCGGAUACGCUGCAACAUGCAGAGGUGUUGCAGGAAAGGAUCUUUUGAUUCGCACAGAGAGCGGCCCGCGUACUAUUAGCUAGCGGUGAGGUAACGGCCCACCAAGGCGACGAUAGUUACCCGGCCUAAGAGGGUGAUCGGGCACAUUGGGACUGAGAUACGGCCCAGACUCCUACGGGAGGCAGCAGCUAAGAAUAUUCCGCAAUGGACGAAAGUCUGACGGAGCGACGCCGCGUGGAUGAUGAAAGGCCGGAAGGUUGUAAAAUCCUUUUAUGACUGAGGAAUAAGUUUUCUGAGAGAAACGGAAGAUGGUGACUGUAGGUCAUGAAUAAGCAACGGCUAAUUACGUGCCAGCAGCUGC